GGCGAACGCUGGCGGCGUGCUUAACACAUGCAAGUCGAACGGUAAGGCCCUUCGGGGUACACGAGUGGCGAACGGGUGAGUAACACGUGGGUGAUCUGCCCUGCACUUCGGGAUAAGCCUGGGAAACUGGGUCUAAUACCGGAUAGGACCACUGCCUGCAUGGGUGGUGGUGGAAAGCUUUUGCGGUGUGGGAUGGGCCCGCGGCCUAUCAGCGUGUUGGUGGGGUGAUGGCCUACCAAGGCGACGACGGGUAGCCGGCCUGAGAGGGUGACCGGCCACACUGGGACUGAGAUACGGCCCAGACUCCUACGGGAGGCAGCAGUGGGGAAUAUUGCACAAUGGGCGCAAGCCUGAUGCAGCGACGCCGCGUGAGGGAUGACGGCCUUCGGGUUGUAAACCUCUUUCAGCACCGACGAAGCGCAAGUGACGGUAGGUGCAGAAGAAGGACCGGCCAACUACGUGCCAGCAGCCGCAGUAA
Molecule: ribosomal RNA, 478 nt
Filed under: uncultured bacterium
Lineage: Bacteria
Description: partial 16S ribosomal RNA
Rfam family: Bacterial small subunit ribosomal RNA
Source: RNAcentral